This 1373-nucleotide ribosomal RNA is filed under the name uncultured bacterium. Its description in RNAcentral is "bacterial SSU rRNA". It matches the Rfam family "Bacterial small subunit ribosomal RNA", at positions 28 to 1381 of the family's 1533-position model. The record is from RNAcentral.
GAUGAACGCUGGCGGCGUGCCUAAUACAUGCAAGUCGAGCGAACGGACGAAGAAGCUUGCUUCUCUGAUGUUAGCGGCGGACGGGUGAGUAACACGUGGAUAACCUACCUAUAAGACUGGGAUAACUUCGGGAAACCGGAGCUAAUACCGGAUGAUAUUUUGAACCGCAUGGUUCAAAAGUGAAAGACGGUCUUGCUGUCACUUAUAGAUGGAUCCGCGCUGCAUUAGCUAGUUGGUAAGGUAACGGCUUACCAAGGCAACGAUGCAUAGCCGACCUGAGAGGGUGAUCGGCCACACUGGAACUGAGACACGGUCCAGACUCCUACGGGAGGCAGCAGUAGGGAAUCUUCCGCAAUGGGCGAAAGCCUGACGGAGCAACGCCGCGUGAGUGAUGAAGGUCUUCGGAUCGUAAAACUCUGUUAUUAGGGAAGAACAUAUGUGUAAGUAACUGUGCACAUCUUGACGGUACCUAAUCAGAAAGCCACGGCUAACUACGUGCCAGCAGCCGCGGUAAUACGUAGGUGGCAAGCGUUAUCCGGAAUUAUUGGGCGUAAAGCGCGCGUAGGCGGUUUUUUAAGUCUGAUGUGAAAGCCCACGGCUCAACCGUGGAGGGUCAUUGGAAACUGGAAAACUUGAGUGCAGAAGAGGAAAGUGGAAUUCCAUGUGUAGCGGUGAAAUGCGCAGAGAUAUGGAGGAACACCAGUGGCGAAGGCGACUUUCUGGUCUGUAACUGACGCUGAUGUGCGAAAGCGUGGGGAUCAAACAGGAUUAGAUACCCUGGUAGUCCACGCCGUAAACGAUGAGUGCUAAGUGUUAGGGGGUUUCCGCCCCUUAGUGCUGCAGCUAACGCAUUAAGCACUCCGCCUGGGGAGUACGACCGCAAGGUUGAAACUCAAAGGAAUUGACGGGGACCCGCACAAGCGGUGGAGCAUGUGGUUUAAUUCGAAGCAACGCGAAGAACCUUACCAAAUCUUGACAUCCUUUGACAACUCUAGAGAUAGAGCCUUCCCCUUCGGGGGACAAAGUGACAGGUGGUGCAUGGUUGUCGUCAGCUCGUGUCGUGAGAUGUUGGGUUAAGUCCCGCAACGAGCGCAACCCUUAAGCUUAGUUGCCAUCAUUAAGUUGGGCACUCUAAGUUGACUGCCGGUGACAAACCGGAGGAAGGUGGGGAUGACGUCAAAUCAUCAUGCCCCUUAUGAUUUGGGCUACACACGUGCUACAAUGGACAAUACAAAGGGCAGCGAAACCGCGAGGUCAAGCAAAUCCCAUAAAGUUGUUCUCAGUCCGGAUUGUAGUCUGCAACUCGACUACAUGAAGCUGGAAUCGCUAGUAAUCGUAGAUCAGCAUGCUACGGUGAAUACGUUCCCGGGUCU